This 439-nucleotide ribosomal RNA is filed under the name Fusarium oxysporum. RNAcentral describes it as "eukaryotic LSU rRNA". It matches the Rfam family "Eukaryotic large subunit ribosomal RNA", at positions 193 to 652 of the family's 3401-position model. The record is from RNAcentral. Lineage: Eukaryota; Fungi; Ascomycota; Sordariomycetes; Hypocreales; Nectriaceae.
GAACGGGACGCCAUAGAGGGUGAGAGCCCCGUCUGGUUGGAUGCCAAAUCUCUGUAAAGUUCCUUCAACGAGUCGAGUAGUUUGGGAAUGCUGCUCUAAAUGGGAGGUAUAUGUCUUCUAAAGCUAAAUACCGGCCAGAGACCGAUAGCGCACAAGUAGAGUGAUCGAAAGAUGAAAAGCACUUUGAAAAGAGAGUUAAAAAGUACGUGAAAUUGUUGAAAGGGAAGCGUUUAUGACCAGACUUGGGCUUGGUUAAUCAUCUGGGGUCUCCCCAGUGCACUUUUCCAGUCCAGGCCAGCAUCAGUUUUCCCCGGGGGAUAAAGGCGGCGGGAAUGUGGCUCUCUUCGGGGAGUGUUAUAGCCCACCGUGUAAUACCCUGGGGGGGACUGAGGUUCGCGCAUCUGCAAGGAUGCUGGCGUAAUGGUCAUCAACGACCCGU